This 253-nucleotide ribosomal RNA is filed under the name uncultured bacterium. RNAcentral's name for it is "partial 16S ribosomal RNA". It matches the Rfam family "Bacterial small subunit ribosomal RNA", at positions 524 to 776 of the family's 1533-position model. The record is from RNAcentral.
UACGGGGGGGGCAAGCGUUGUUCGGAAUUACUGGGCGUAAAGGGCUCGUAGGCGGCCAACUAAGUCAGACGUGAAAUCCCUCGGCUUAACCGGGGAACUGCGUCUGAUACUGGAUGGCUGGAGGUUGGGAGAGGGAUGCGGAAUUCCAGGUGUAGCGGUGAAAUGCGUAGAUAUCUGGAGGAACACCGGUGGCGAAGGCGGCAUCCUGGACCGACACUGACACUGAGGAGCGAAAGCCAGGGGAGCAAACGGG